This 123-nucleotide small nuclear RNA is filed under the name Cavia porcellus (domestic guinea pig). RNAcentral's name for it is "U2 spliceosomal RNA". It matches the Rfam family "U2 spliceosomal RNA". From Rfam's summary of the family: U2 is a small nuclear RNA (snRNA) component of the spliceosome (involved in pre-mRNA splicing). Complementary binding between U2 snRNA (in an area lying towards the 5' end but 3' to hairpin I) and the branchpoint sequence (BPS) of the intron results the bulging out of an unpaired adenosine, on the BPS, which initiates a nucleophilic attack at the intronic 5' splice site, thus starting the first of two transesterification reactions that mediate splicing. Lineage: Eukaryota; Metazoa; Chordata; Mammalia; Rodentia; Caviidae. The record is from Rfam by way of RNAcentral.
AUCGCUUCUCGGCCUUUUGGCUAAGAUCAAGUGUAGUAUCUGUUCUUAUCAGUUUAAAAAGGACAGGAUGACAGCCUGCAAUUCCAAAAUAACUUCUGAGUAAAAUGUGGGCGAGCACCCUCU